Molecule: ribosomal RNA, 1287 nt
Filed under: metagenome
Description: bacterial SSU rRNA
Rfam family: Bacterial small subunit ribosomal RNA
Source: RNAcentral
UAGCUAGUUGGUGAGGUAAAGGCUUACCAAGGCGACGAUCUGUAGCGGGUCUGAGAGGAUGAUCCGCCACACUGGAACUGAGACACGGUCCAGACUCCUACGGGGGGCAGCAGUGGGGAAUUUUGGGCAAUGGGGGCAACCCUGAUCCAGCCAUGCCGCGUGAGUGAAGAAGGCCUUCGGGUUGUAAAGCUCUUUCGGCCGGGAAGAAAUCGCAUGGGCCAAUACCCUGUGUGGAUGACGGUACCGGAAUAAGAAGCACCGGCUAACUACGUGCCAGCAGCCGCGGUAAUACGUAGGGUGCGAGCGUUAAUCGGAAUUACUGGGCGUAAAGCGUGCGCAGGCGGUUUUGUAAGACAGGCGUGGAAUCCCCGGGCUUAACCUGGGAACUGCGUUUGUGACUGCAAGGCUAGAGUACGGCAGAGGGGGGUGGAAUUCCACGUGUAGCAGUGAAAUGCGUAGAGAUGUGGAGGAACACCAAUGGCGAAGGCAGCCCCCUGGGUCGAUACUGACGCUCAUGCACGAAAGCGUGGGUAGCAAACAGGAUUAGAUACCCUGGUAGUCCACGCCCUAAACUAUGUCAACUAGGUGUUGGGUGGGUAAAACCAUUUAGUACCGUAGCUAACGCGUGAAGUUGACCGCCUGGGGAGUACGGCCGCAAGGUUAAAACUCAAAGGAAUUGACGGGGACCCGCACAAGCGGUGGAUGAUGUGGAUUAAUUCGAUGCAACGCGAAAAACCUUACCUACCCUUGACAUGCCAGGAACUUGCCAGAGAUGGCUUGGUGCCCGAAAGGGAGCCUGGACACAGGUGCUGCAUGGCUGUCGUCAGCUCGUGUCGUGAGAUGUUGGGUUAAGUCCCGCAACGAGCGCAACCCUUGUCGUUAAUUGCCAUCAUUUAGUUGGGCACUUUAACGAGACUGCCGGUGACAAACCGGAGGAAGGUGGGGAUGACGUCAAGUCCUCAUGGCCCUUAUGGGUAGGGCUUCACACGUCAUACAAUGGUCGGUACAAAGGGUUGCCAAGCCGCGAGGCGGAGCCAAUCCCAGAAAGCCGAUCGUAGUCCGGAUUGCAGGCUGCAACUCGCCUGCAUGAAGUCGGAAUCGCUAGUAAUCGUGGAUCAGCAUGUCACGGUGAAUACGUUCCCGGGUCUUGUACACACCGCCCGUCACACCAUGGGAGCGGGUUCCGCCAGAAGUAGGUAGCCUAACCGCAAGGGGGGCGCUUACCACGGCGGGGUUCGUGACUGGGGUGAAGUCGGAACAAGGUAGCCGUAGGGGAACCUGCGGCUG